This 253-nucleotide ribosomal RNA is filed under the name uncultured bacterium. Its description in RNAcentral is "partial 16S ribosomal RNA". It matches the Rfam family "Bacterial small subunit ribosomal RNA", at positions 524 to 776 of the family's 1533-position model. The record is from RNAcentral.
UACAGAGGGUGCGAGCGUUGUCCGGAAUCACUGGGCGUAAAGGGCGCGUAGGUGGCGAGCCAAGUCCAUGGUGAAAGCUCGAUGCUCAACAUCGAGUCGGCCACGGAUACUGGUGCGCUUGAGCACUGUAGAGGCUAAUGGAAUUCCGGGUGUAGCGGUGGAAUGCGUAGAGAUCCGGAAGAACACCGGUGGCGAAGGCGGUUAGCUGGGCAGUUGCUGACACUGAGGCGCGACAGCGUGGGGAGCAAACAGG